UUGUAAUCCAGGGAUUCUAUCAACAACUGAAGAUGCCUUUGCUGUACCAUAUUCAAGUACUUUUCCUUUCAAGCCAUGCUAUCUCCUGGCAGUAUUUCUCUGUCACAAAGAGGACUUCACGUACCAGCAUUCAGCAGAGCAAUAAGGCUGUGGGUGAAAAAGGGGCUCCAUGUGGGUGCACUGCGUGUCCCCAGGAAGCAGCGUCAGUGCGGAGUGCUGGAAGACACUGGCUCUAAUGCAAGAUACAAAAUCACCGCGCAAAACAAACGCCUGCACAAGGAUCUCACAGCUUUCCUUCUUCAGUCAUCAGGGUGCAGUGUUCUUUCAUUUGCUGUGGCUGUUUCCAGCUGACGGCCACUGGCUGGGAGCUCUGUCUGUGUUGGGCAGUUGAGCAGAGUCGCUUCGUGGACAAAAUCCUGUAUGGGUCAGGUCACUGCUCCUAUGUGCACAGGCUUCAGCAAAGGCUGGGUUUGUCCCAGAGGAUCAGAGCUGCUCAAAGUGGGAGAGAACUCAGAACAACAAAUUUCCUCACCAGAUACCAGCGCCUGUCGCUGCUCCGGAUCGUGCUGUGAACACACCGCUCUUUCCUCACUGCUUAUGUGUGAUUUGAAGCAAUUCCGCAGCUCCGUUCGGGCGCUUCUCGCAGGGAUUUGGGAGUAAAUGCCAUUUGGGUUCGUUUCAUUAAGCACCUCAACUCAGGGAUUUGUUUCUAAUCCCGGAAUGAAAAUAUCUCCCUGCACUGAGUUUCUCAGGCAAUGUUUGUGUUCGCAAAUUGAAAAAAAACACCACUUGCUAGGAACAUCCCCGACUAUUUACUUACAUUUUUCUAUUUCCACGGACCUUUUCCCAGCAUUUCCUUCCCUCGCAGCCUGCCUGCAUCUGGCCACAGGAGGGAUUCAAACUGCGCGCAGACAAAUGGCUUAAAAUCAGAAGAGAAUUACUUGAGGAUAAGCAAAAAUUAGAAUAUUGAUUCAUUCCCUACUUGAGAAGGGAAAACGUUCUUUGCUAGGGCAAUGGUGUGGACUGAGCCUUAGUGAUGAGCUAUUACUUAAAAUUGAGCUUGAUUAUGCGCACACCUGAGCUACGGGUGAGCUUUGGAGCAGAACUGGUUGAUUUGGGUUUACCUUGGGUAGGUGCUGUCACGUCUCUCAUUGCACCUCUGGCAAGAAAUUAGGGUCAGGCAACAAGCAGCCAAACUCCCC
RNAcentral lists this long non-coding RNA (1202 nucleotides) under Coturnix japonica (Japanese quail). RNAcentral describes it as "lncRNA (ENSCJPG00005005166.1)". The record is from RNAcentral. Lineage: Eukaryota; Metazoa; Chordata; Aves; Galliformes; Phasianidae.